GCUCCGUUAGCUUAGUCGGUAAAGCAUCCUACUUAUGCGAAUAGUUACGAUUCACAUGCCUGACAUAGGAAGAUCAUGGGUUCGAUUCCCUUACGGAGCA
Molecule: transfer RNA, 100 nt
Filed under: Geotrichum reessii
Lineage: Eukaryota; Fungi; Ascomycota; Dipodascomycetes; Dipodascales; Dipodascaceae
Also listed under: 1 other name
Description: Galactomyces reessii tRNA-Ile
Rfam family: tRNA
About the family: Transfer RNA (tRNA) molecules are approximately 80 nucleotides in length. Their secondary structure includes four short double-helical elements and three loops (D, anti-codon, and T loops).
Source: RNAcentral